CAUGAAGCUGGAAUCGCUAGUAAUCGCGGAUCAGAAUGCCGCGGUGAAUACGUUCCCGGGUCUUGUACACACCGCCCGUCACACCAUGGGAGCCGGGAAUGCCCGAAGUCGGUGACCUAACCGAAAGGAAGGAGCCGCCGAAGGCAGGUCUGGUAACUGGGGUGAAGUCGUAACAAGGUAAC
RNAcentral lists this ribosomal RNA (182 nucleotides) under uncultured bacterium. RNAcentral describes it as "partial 16S ribosomal RNA". It matches the Rfam family "Bacterial small subunit ribosomal RNA", at positions 1319 to 1500 of the family's 1533-position model. The record is from RNAcentral.